GAGAAAUGAUAAUUGCUCCGGUUUCUUAAGACAUCUUUUAAGGAGUGGAGAGAAAACCCAAACUAUACAAGAAGACAUGGAGGAAACAAACACAUAUUGAAUGUACUCAGCAGUCACCCCACAAGCUUGACUCUGCAGUCAUGACCCACCAGGGAACACUGCCCAGCUGCCUGGGUGAGCAGCACUGCAAAGGGGACCUUGGCCAUCUGGAAUGAGCCACCUCCCAGCUAUAUGUCUUUGGCAAGGGAACACCUCCUGGAGAAGGCAGCUGCACCCAAGUCUCAGGCUCUGCUUUCAGGGGAACCCAGUCAAGACACACAUCCAGGAGGCCAGGUCCUGGGGUAGACCCUCAGGAUGCUACUUCUCACAACAGCU
Molecule: long non-coding RNA, 375 nt
Organism: Neogale vison (American mink)
Lineage: Eukaryota; Metazoa; Chordata; Mammalia; Carnivora; Mustelidae
Exons: 4
Source: RefSeq, a predicted model, not a curated record